Molecule: ribosomal RNA, 511 nt
Filed under: uncultured bacterium
Lineage: Bacteria
Description: bacterial SSU rRNA
Rfam family: Bacterial small subunit ribosomal RNA
Source: RNAcentral
CUGGCGGCGUGCCUAAUACAUGCAAGUCGAACGGCUUUUCUAUGGAAGCUUGCUUCCACUGAGAAGAUAGUGGCGAACGGGGUGAGUAACACGUGGGUAACCUGCCCAUAAGAGGGGGAUAACAUCCGGAAACGGGUGCUAAUACCGCAUAGUUUUCUUGAUCGCAUGAUCGGGAAAGGAAAGACGGCCUUUGUGCUGUCGCUUAUGGAUGGACCCGCGGCGUAUUAGUUAGUUGGUGAGGUAACGGCUCACCAAGACGAUGAUACGUAGCCGACCUGAGAGGGUGAUCGGCCACAUUGGGACUGAGACACGGCCCAAACUCCUACGGGAGGCAGCAGUAGGGAAUCUUCCGCAAUGGACGAAAGUCUGACGGAGCAACGCCGCGUGAGUGAAGAAAAGGUUUUCGGAUCGUAAAACUCUGUUGUCAGAGAAGAACAAGUUGGAGAGUAACUGCUCCAGCCUUGACGGUAUCUGACCAGAAAGCCACGGCUAACUACGUGCCAGCCGCUGC